AGAAUCAACGCUGGCGGCGUGCCUAACACAUGCAAGUCGCACGAGAAAGGGACUUCGGUCCUGAGUAAAGUGGCGCACGGGUGAGUAACACGUGAAUAAUCUACCUCCGAGUGGGGAAUAACUGAGAGAAAUCUCAGCUAAUACCGCAUAACACUUACGAGUCAAAGCAGCAAUGCGCUUGGAGAGGAGUUCGCGGCCGAUUAGUUAGUUGGCGGGGUAAUGGCCCACCAAGACGAUGAUCGGUA
RNAcentral lists this ribosomal RNA (245 nucleotides) under uncultured bacterium. Its description in RNAcentral is "partial small subunit ribosomal RNA". It matches the Rfam family "Bacterial small subunit ribosomal RNA", at positions 26 to 285 of the family's 1533-position model. The record is from RNAcentral.